GCCCUCGUAGCUCAGCAGGACAGAGCAACGGCCUCCUAAGCCGUAGGUCGUGCGUUCGAAUCGCGCCGGGGGCACCA
This 77-nucleotide transfer RNA is filed under the name Desulfarculus sp. RNAcentral's name for it is "tRNA-Arg". It matches the Rfam family "tRNA". Rfam says of the family: Transfer RNA (tRNA) molecules are approximately 80 nucleotides in length. Their secondary structure includes four short double-helical elements and three loops (D, anti-codon, and T loops). Further hydrogen bonds mediate the characteristic L-shaped molecular structure. tRNAs have two regions of fundamental functional importance: the anti-codon, which is responsible for specific mRNA codon recognition, and the 3' end, to which the tRNAs corresponding amino acid is attached (by aminoacyl-tRNA synthetases). tRNAs cope with the degeneracy of the genetic code in two manners: having more than one tRNA (with a specific anti-codon) for a particular amino acid; and 'wobble' base-pairing, i.e. permitting non-standard base-pairing at the 3rd anti-codon position. The record is from RNAcentral. Lineage: Bacteria; Pseudomonadati; Thermodesulfobacteriota; Desulfarculia; Desulfarculales; Desulfarculaceae. RNAcentral also lists the same sequence under 2 other names.